This 775-nucleotide ribosomal RNA is filed under the name uncultured Neocallimastigales. RNAcentral describes it as "partial large subunit ribosomal RNA". It matches the Rfam family "Eukaryotic large subunit ribosomal RNA", at positions 23 to 634 of the family's 3401-position model. Lineage: Eukaryota; Fungi; Neocallimastigomycota; Neocallimastigomycetes; Neocallimastigales. The record is from RNAcentral.
AGAGAUGUGUGAUGACGCAUAUCAAUAAGCGGAGGAAAAGAAACUAACAAGGAUUCCCCUAGUAACGGCGAGUGAAGCGGGAAGAGCUCAAAUUUGAAAUCUUAAAGGGUUUCCCUUUACGAAUUGUAGUUUAAAGAAGUGUUUUCUGUUGGAGUUUCGGUAAAAGUUCUUUGGAAUAGGACAUCAUAGAGGGUGAGAAUCCCGUAUUUGACCGUUACUUCCCAGCUGUGUGAUACACUUUCAAAGAGUCGGAUUGUUUGGGAAUGCAGUCCAAAAUGGGUGGUAAAUUUCAUCUAAAGCUAAAUAUUGGCGAGAGACCGAUAGCGAACAAGUACCGUGAGGGAAAGAUGAAAAGAACUUUGAAAAGAGAGUUAAACAGUACGUGAAAUUGUCAAAAGGGAAGCGUUUGACACCAGUGUUGUUUAGUCGAAAAUCAAUUAAAUAUUUUUCGAUUUUAAGUAGUAUUGACCUUAUCAGCUUGCUGCUUUUUUCUCGGAAAUUAUUUAAUGCACUUUUCAGUUAACAAGUCAACAUCAAUUUCUUUUGUUGUAAAAAGGUAAGAGGAAGGUGGCUUGCGCUUCGGCUCAAGUGUUUAUAGCCUUUUACCCCUGCAAUCGGAGAGAUUGAGGUCUGCAGCGUAGAUCCUUCGGGGUUAGAUACAUUUGUGCUAAGCUAUAGCCUUGUAUAGACAACUUGUUGACUAUGCUCAGUCAUGUAGCUUACUCGCUUAUGCUAUUUUACCUACGCUUAGGAUGUUGAUCUGUAGUGCGUGCGC